AAUUAGGUGGAUUGCCAAGAAAUCCUGGCACGCAAGAACACACUGCCUGACCAUUUAUAGCUCUGCACUGACUGUUAGGUCCACAAGGAGAUGGAUUACAGGGAUUUACCUGUACUUGUUCUAAAUUCAGAAAUAAUGAAAUGAAAGCAUUGCCAGCCAUUCCUGCUGGACAAGAACACAUGGGUAUAUGAUUCAGAACAUUGCAAAUUGCGUUCCUACCACAAGUGCCUGGACAUGGGUCCACACACUUGUUUUGAACACAAGCUCUAUUCAAAGGACAGUCAUUGUUGAGAACACAUUCAGGACGACAGCUAGUGGUGAUGGAUUGCAGGGGUCUGAUUCAGGGGAUGGCACUGUAAGAAUUUUUCAAAUAUAGAAAUCAUCAACUAAUCGAUUUCUGAAUAAAAGAAAUCUUACAUUGUGGUGGCAUUGGAUAACAAUUUGUGAAAGGAUCUCCAGUGUAUUCUUGAAGACAGAUACACAUAGGACAGUCAGAAUUGAUGAUACACUCUGGUCUGCAGUUUGGAGGACUUCCAAUGUAAGUAGAUAGACAUUGACAGGAUGGACCAUUAUUAAUUACACGACAUUCGGAAUUUGGACCGCAAGGAGAAGGCAAACAUGGUUGUGUAACUUCGACUGAUAUAGGUGGUAAAGCUUCUGAAAGGCGAAAUUUGUUUAAUUCAGAAUUGAAUCAAUUGGUAAUCGUAAAGUUUUUAGAUGUGUCAAAAUAUCUUACGUGGAAUAGGGAAACACAUGGUGAAUGGAUCUCCUGUGUAUAAUUCUCUGCAGGCACAGAUUGGACUGUGAUUCCUGAUCAUACAGGUGGCGAACGUGCCACAAGAAGUAGGACAAGGGUUCACGCAUUUCUGAUUGACACAUGCACGAUCUUGAGGACAUUCUGAGUUCAGAACACAUUCUGGACGACACAUGGGAGGUGUGCCUGUGUAUUGUGGCAAACAAGAGCAGACACCUUGGCCAUUUACUACGCGACAUUGACUAUUUGGUCCACAGGGUGAUGGAUUGCAUGGAUCUUUGAAUUUUGUUUCAUCUUCUAUGGGAGUAAUUUUUAUUUUUAUUAAUAAGUUGAAAUUUUUGAAAUUUUAGUCUUUAAGCUCUUUAUAAACAAUAUAUCAUGAAAAAUUAACUUUUUAAUUCAAUUGAUCAAAAUUUAUUUCAAAUGCAAAAAAAAUUUUCAUUAUAUUUAUUAAUAUCUUUGAAAGUUCAUACCUAUUUCACGAAUCAAGGUACAAUAGUGGAAAGGAUUUCCACUGUAACCUUGAAUGCACGUACAUGCAGGACGAUGAUUGAUAACUUUACAUUCUGUAUUCGUGCCACAAGUACCUAGACAUGGAUCUUGACAUUUGGAGCAAAUACAACUCAAUAUGGAUGGACAGUCCGUAUCAACGACACAUUCAGGUCGACAGCCUUCAUAGGGGUUACCAAUAUAAUCGGAUAAACAAGAGCACGAGCCUACACCAUUUUGUUCUUUGCAUAUCGCAUUGAACCCGCAUGGAGAUGGGGUACAUGGAGAAAGAUUUUCAGGGACAGCUAGAAAGUUGCAAAACAAAUAAUAAAAUUAUUGAAGGAAAAAAAUUAUUAAAUUGUCUUGUAAUUAUAAUCAAAGAUUUUAAUUGCUCAACAUCACUUUUUAUGUCAAAAUUUAAACGAAGUUUGAACGACAAAGAGAAACGAAAAUCUUUGAUAAUUAUAGAAAGAUUGAAAAAAAAAAAGAAAAAUAUAUCUUGAAUCUUACAUGGUCUAAGUAUACAUUGUAUGAAAGGAUCGCCACUAUAAUCGCUGGGGCAAACACACAUGGGUGUAUGACUGACAACACGACAUUCAGCAUUAACUCCACAAGAUCCAAGACAAGGAUCUUUGCAUUUCUGAUUCAUGCAGGCCAAAUCACUGGGACAUUCACUAUUACUAACACAUUCUGGUUUACAAUUAGGAGGGGCGCCUACAAAUUCUGGUGAACAGGAACAAGAGGAAUACAUCGAACGAAAGGAUCCCCUGUAAAUCCGGGCAAACAACUGCAUAUAGGAUUAUGAUUGACGACGUUGCAGAUUGUACUGAAUCCGCAAGAACCAGGACAAGGAUUUACACAUUUCUGAUUACUACAAGCUUCUGAUAAAGAACAAUCAGAGCUGACUGUGCACUCUGGUCGACAGGCAGGUGGUGCACCGAGAUAUCCUGCUACGCAGGAACAAACUGGUUGUUGAUUGAUCACUCGACAGACACUAUUUGGUCCACAGGGUGAAGAUACCAGAACAAGGAUUGAUACACUUGUUUCUCACACAAGCUCGAUUUUGGGGACAAUCUGUAUUCAAUACACACUCUGGUCGACAACCUACAUAAGGAUCACCCUGAUAUUCUGCCAAACAUGUACAAACACCAUCGUUGCACUGCGCGUUUGGACCACAAGGUGAUGAUGCACAAAGAUCAACGAUAGUUGGUUCAGCUGUGAAACGAAUAAAUGAGCAGGAUAACAAUUGCUGAAAGGAUCACCAGUGUAUUGUUCGGGACAAGUACAUACUGGCACGUGAUUGUAAACCGUGCAUAAGGACGUAAUGCUACAAGAUCCUUGACAAGGAUCUCUGCAUUUCUCGUUCAUGCAAGCAAGAUUCAUGGGACAAUCGGAGUUGACACGACAUUCUGGUCGACAGGUCGGUGGAGAUCCAAUGUAUCUUGGCAAACAGGAACAAGAAGGUGUGCCACCAAUAUUUCUGCAUUCCGCGUACAUGCCACAUGGGGAUGGCAUGCACGGAUCUUUGGGAGCCAAGUCAAAGUCAUUCUUGGGCGAUUCUAAAAUUUAUUGGUAACAUUAUUGCAUGAUAAGGCCAUAUGAUUGAAGCGAUUUAUAUGGAUUUACUUAAGAACGUAAUCGUCAAUCUUAGAUGAUUGUAGUUCUAAAUGAUGAACUGUGAUUGAAGCAAUUCAUAUGAAUUUACUAAGCUGAAUAAUACUCUUGAUAAAGCUUGAA
This is a long non-coding RNA of Apis cerana (Asiatic honeybee), 2980 nucleotides long. RefSeq lists it as uncharacterized. The record is from RefSeq and is a predicted model, not a curated record. Lineage: Eukaryota; Metazoa; Arthropoda; Insecta; Hymenoptera; Apidae.